RNAcentral lists this ribosomal RNA (1313 nucleotides) under uncultured bacterium. Its description in RNAcentral is "bacterial SSU rRNA". It matches the Rfam family "Bacterial small subunit ribosomal RNA", at positions 29 to 1379 of the family's 1533-position model. The record is from RNAcentral.
AUGAACGCUAGCGGCGUGCUUAAUGCAUGCAAGUCGAACGGUGCAGAAUUUCGAUUUUGUACAGUGGCGAACGGGUGAGUAAGACGUUGGUGACCUACCUUGGAGAGGGGAAUAACUAGUGGAAACGCUAGCUAACACCCCGGAUGUUACGCUGGUUAGAGAGGUGUAACUGAAACCCUGGUGCUCCAAGAGGGGCCAGCGGCCCAUCAGCUGGUUGGUGUGGUAAUGGCACACCAAGGCGAAGACGGGUAGGGGGCGUGAGAGCGUGACCCCCCACACUGGUACUGAGAGACGGACCAGAUACCUACGGGUAGCAGCAGCAAGGAAUAUUGCCCAAUGGACGCAAGUCUGAGGCAGCAACGCCGCGUGAAGGAUGAAGGCCUUCGGGUCGUAAACUUCUUUUAAGAGGGAAGAGAGCGGACGGUACCUCUUGAAUAAGCUUCGGCUAACUACGUGCCAGCAGCCGCGGUAAAACGUAGGAAGCAAGCGUUAUCCGGAUUUACUGGGCGUAAAGGGCAGGCAGGCGGUCGGUUAAGUUGGACUUGAAAGCUCCCGGCUCAACUGGGAGAGGCGGUUCAAAACUAGCCGACUAGAGGGUGAUAGAGGAGAGUGGAAUUCCCGGUGUAGUGGUGAAAUGCGUAGAUAUCGGGAGGAACACCAGUGGCGAAAGCGGCUCUCUGGGUCACUUCUGACGCUCAACUGCGAAAGCCAGGGGAGAGAACGGGAUUAGAAACCCCGGUAUUCCUGGCCGUAAACGAUGUUAACUAGGCGUCGGUGGUGUCAAAGCCGCCGGUGCUGCAGCCAACGCGAUAAGUUAACCGCCUGGGGACUACGGCCGCAAGGCUAAAACUCAAAGGAAUUGACGGGGGCCCGCACAAGCAGCGGAGCGUGUGGUUUAAUUCGAGGCUACGCGAAGAACCUUACCAGGGAUUGACAUGCAGAUGGUAGAGAAGCGAAAGCGGACCGACCCUUCGGGGAGUCUGCACAGGUGCUGCAUGGCUGUCGUCAGCUCGUGCCGUGAGGUGUUAGGUUAAGUCCUGUAACGAGCGCAACCCUCGUCGUUAGUUACACGUGUCUAACGAGACCGCCGGUGAUAAGCCGGAGGAAGGUGGGGAUGACGUCAAGUCAGCAUGGCCUUUAUAUCCUGGGCUACACACGCUACAAUGGCCGGUACAAUGGGCUGCGAAACCGCGAGGUGGAGCCAAUCCCGCAAAGCCGGUCUCAGUUCGGAUGGCAGGCUGCAACUCGCCUGCCUGAAGUCGGAGUUGCUAGUAACCGCGCGUCAGCAUAGUGCGGUGAAUACGUUCCCGGGC